Molecule: transfer-messenger RNA, 361 nt
Filed under: Hellea sp.
Lineage: Bacteria; Pseudomonadati; Pseudomonadota; Alphaproteobacteria; Maricaulales; Robiginitomaculaceae
Rfam family: Alphaproteobacteria transfer-messenger RNA
About the family: Bacterial tmRNA, also known as 10Sa RNA or SsrA, is named for its dual tRNA and mRNA-like properties. Its role is to liberate the mRNA from a stalled ribosome.
Source: RNAcentral
UUUAUUGUAAAAUUCACACAAAAACACUACAUAUAACGUGCUGGCUUGCCAGCUAUGAUGAUAAACGCGCUUGUCAUAAGCGGACUGGACCCGGGGGCGGUACCCGGCGGCUCCACCAUAAACACAUUGAUUUCGGUGUGUUUUUGAUGGGGCCGAAAUAGGAUCGACAGACGUCUAAAGAAGUUAGCUUUCAUCCGAUUUGGUAUCGUUAAAUGCCUAAUUUUAGUAAUUGCAAAUGACAAUUCUAAUGAAGGUUUUGCACUCGCAGCGUAAGCAGCGCGUCUAAACCGCACUUUAACUCCUAGCGUGUCAUAACCCUAGGCGGGCUUCGGAGGGUAGCUGGCAACAGAAACCCUCCACU